UGUGGGAGUGAGCCUGCUCGCGAUGGCGGCGGCACAUCUUGUAUCUAUAUGACAGAAAGACCGCUAUCGCGAGCAGGCUCACUCCCACA
Molecule: unclassified non-coding RNA, 89 nt
Filed under: Pseudomonas frederiksbergensis
Lineage: Bacteria; Pseudomonadati; Pseudomonadota; Gammaproteobacteria; Pseudomonadales; Pseudomonadaceae
Source: RNAcentral